UCUUGCAGGCAGGACAGAUUAUAGGUCCAAGGUUUUUGUGGCUGGGUUGGUGUCCAAGUUUCUCUUUUAGUAGCCUGCAGAGCACCUUCUCACACCAAAGAGACUAGAACAUGGGGGUAAAGGCUCCAUGCAGGCACCAGCUCAUAAACAAUUGAUUUUCUUUUAUUAGAGACAGUAAUCAUGAUAAAAAAAAUGUUCUUACCAUCAGCUUCUAGAACAAGUGGGGAAAUGACAUUUCUCAGGUACUAAAUCAUGUUGUGAUGAAGCUGGAUUGAAAGGGAUGUAUGUGAAGUUUUAUCUAGGGAGAGUAGAAAAAAAACACAAGAAGUAGAUUUAAAUUGUGUUCAGAAACUCUCAAGUUUCAGGGCUAGUGUCCUCCCUACUGCCCAGGCUUGUAGUCAGAAGUUUUUCUGUGUCUCGCUGAGUCCUGCAGCCUCUCAGACCCAAGUAAACACACAGAGGCUUAUAUUAAUGAUGAACUGGAUGGCCUAUGGUCAAGCUUCUUCCUAGCUUGCUCUUACAACUCAACCCAUUUAUUAAUCUAUAAGUUGCUAUUUGACUGUGGCAUUACCAGUCUGCUAGCAUCUUGCUGCUCCUUGGACACAGGCUCAUGUUUCCUCUUCCUCUCCUUUCUCCCUUCACUAUCUCUGUUGGACUUUCUUGCCUGGCUCCAUCCUGCCCUGCCAUAGGCCCAUGAAACUUUAUUUAUCAAGCAGUCAGAGCAACAUAUAUUCACAUGGAUGUCAUAUGGAAAGACAUCCCACAGCACAGGCUGUCUUAUGUUAGACCCCAUUUCAAACCAACUGAUCACGAAUUUGGGGUCAGGGAGUUCUUCAGGUUUGAUGAGUUUGUAGAUCAAGUCUGAGAACUUAUGAUAGUGUUAUACUUACAAUUAUGGUUUUAUUCUAGCACAAGAAUCCAGAUCAGAGACAGACAAAGAAAGAGGCACACAGAGUAGAACCUGAGACUGUCAUAAAUAGAUAUGUGACAAUACAGAGUGCUAUGAGCCAGGGAUUGUAUCCCAGUUUCAGUGUAUAGUGGUUUCAUUAAAGCUUUAUUUGAUAGGCAUGGCUGAUUGAGUUUCUGCUGGCAUCUGCAGCCUUCUUCCUCUCCUCGGAGGUUAGCUACACUUCACAUGGCCCAAACUUCUAAUUCUCUAAUCACACAGCUUUGCUUUUUCUGGUAAAGCUAGUUCCUGUUGUAAAUAUCCCCACAUGGUUGGUCACUUCCUCCACCAUCUCUAUAGCACAGACUUUCAUGUGUGGUCUGAGGGUCCAUCAUGAAACAUGGGGCACUUCUAUCAUUGGGGAAUUGCAAGAAUUUAAAGGCUUCUUCUGAGAAGCUGAGACAGAGGCCACACCUGGGCUUUGGUGUGGUGAAUUCCACAGUGAGCACACUGGAAGAAUGGUUGACUCAGAGCUCAUGUAAGGUGAAGUCAGUCUGUGGCACUCUCUUUGUCAGCUUCAGCUACUGACUUGACAGCAGAGAGUGAUCAUUGGAUGUCAGAGAGUGUCUCAGUUGGGGCCUUGAUCACAGUGGCCUAUGGGCAUAUCUGAGGGAACAUUUUUUUUUAUUGCUAGUCAUAGUAGGAAGGUUCAGCCCAUGGUGGGCCAUGCCACUCGGGUCCUGAGUUGUAUAAAAAAACCUUGCUGGACAUUAGCCAGAGAGAAUAAGCUAGUAAGCAGUGUCCUCCAUGGUUUCUGCUUCAAGGUCUUGCUUUGGCUUCCCUUGAUGAUGAUGGGCUGUGAAAUGUAAGUUGAAAUGAAACCUUUUCUCUCCAUGUUGCUUUUGAUCAUGGUGUUUCUUAAGGUAGAACAAGCCCCAAGGGAGGGAGUAGAUGGUGAGAGAAAAAUGCUGCCGAAAGACUCAUGGCCCCUGGACAUGGUGCAGAACUGUAUGUACCUGUGCUUUUCUCAGAGCCGAGUAAAGGAUGUCACCCGAAGAGGAAUAACGUGAUGUUUAGUCAGUCUGUACAUUCCAGUGGGUUGCAAGUGGCUACGAAUCCAUGGUCUACAGUUCCAGUCCCACUCGACUGAAAGCAGAGAUAAUGUCAAGCUCUUUGAAUCACAGAGACGGUAAUGUUAGACUACUCGUCCUUUGCUCCAAGAAAACUGCUUUUAAACUACUUCCAGCAUGGCUUGGAGCAUUUUGGAAGCCACUGCUUUCUGUUCGUCAAUGCUUUGGAGACUUCCAUCAAGUGCACAUGAGAAAUGGUACAUUGGUAAGAUGCCCCCUCUGUAUGCCCCAAAUAGGAAAAUGUUUUCUGUUAAAGUUUGCAUAACCCCUUUCAGUACUUUGCAUGUCAAGAGUACAAGCCUUAAAGUGUGCUGGUGGUUAAAGACUAUGUUUUUAUUUUAGUGUGUGUACCAAUACUUUCCUACCUUGAAUAUAUUCCUUCAUUUAGACAUCAUCCAAGGGACUAAACAAUUCUAUCUUUUCCUUGACUUUUUGGAGAUUGUCAAUAGACAAGCAUCAAGUUCAAUAAACUUCUUGGAGUCCCUUGAGCUGACCCAGAGAUAAAUGAAACAUUGUACCUUUUUGGAAAACAAUCUGGCUGUUGAGUUCUGAUUGAAGAGGAGGCACACUGCAAUAUGCAGGCAUGAGAUACUUGAGCAGAAGAUAAUGCUUGCAGCCGUACUUUUAACAUUCAAUUUCAGUGCUGUCCAGAAAAACUGUAAAACUGGGGAAAGACUAUGCCCUUAAACUUAUACCCUACACUGGAAAUGAAGGUUUGAAGUGGGUGCACAUUGACCAGCAUGAAAAGCUGUUGUGCUCAAAGAGAAUAAGUUCCCUGGAUUCUUGGAACAGAUAUGAGGACUCUGCAGAGGAGUCAUGGUUUGCUAAAAAGUAUCAAAAUUUACAGGGUCUUCUGAUGGCGGCGGUUUCAGGGAUGUUGUGAUGAAAGAGGAGGGCCUUUAACAGUGAGAACGAGCAGAAGUGCAGGACACUUACUUCUCUUACAAUGUGUAAGAGCAUCUCUUACACAUUGUGCGGAGGAGAUUAUGUCCAGUCCUUUCCUGGAAAGAGUCCCAUAUGGAUUAUUACAACUGCCUGUAGUCCCGAGGACAACUCUUCAUUGGCCAAGUGCCUCGUAAAUGGUGCUGACAGAUUAACAACAGCUGGAGAGGGUCCACAGAGGUGAUUCUGAGGGACACUUGACAGAGCCCUGCUGCCCCCACGGGGUCAUUUUGCUGCACAGGUCAAGUGCAGACAUCUGCUGCCUCUACACAGCAGGAAGUCUUACUUUGGGAAGCAGAUGUCUGCUUUUGGUUUUCAGGAAAUGAACUGUUGCUCAGAAACCGUGGCCUAUCAAGUUAGAAAGACUUCAAAGGUAGGCGUUUUCCAAAGGGGUGGUAUUAGAAUGGCGUUUAUGUGACAGAUUAAAAUAUUUCAAACAGGCUGACAAGAUCUUUGCUCUCUGCUCUGUGUGGUUGCAUAUAUAUUCUACCUGUCCUACCUACCCUAGAACAUGUCUGCUAGCUCCCAAGGUGAGCUUGAAAUCAGCACCUGCGUUUGAACUUUGGGAAGACUGCCACUUGCUCCUCACCAGUUCUAGUUUGGUUUCUGUUACUUCAUCCUCCAGAAUGUGCAAAUGUUUAAUGAAAUAUUACACCAAAGACUCAUAAGCAUCAGUGAAAUCUCUCAACUAACCAGCCGCCUUAUUAGUGAAAGAGGUAAUUUUCUGAAGCUCAAUUACAUGAAAAUGGAAAAGAGAUGAGUGAGAGUAAGGGCCGGAAUAACAGCCUUGUUGGUAGUGACAGCCUAGAUCUAUAACCAGUAACAACAGGAAGAAGGGCCUAGUACACAGGUCUUUGGGACCAGCCAUGACUUACCCACUAAAGGGUUGUAUUUUCUUAUAAUUAACAAUCCUUCUCUUUCAAAGUACCUCAUUUUAUGUUUGCCAUUUACUAUUGUAUGUGUGAAUUCUUGUUUUGCUUUUCUUUUGUAGGUUUUUUUGAGGACUUCAUACAUGAGCAUUCUAUAUCCCUUCUGCCCCCUCUUCCUCCUCAUCUUCUUCUCAUGUCCUUCCUCCCAAACUCACGAUGUUUUCAUUGUUAUUGCUAUGUGUAGAUGUAACAAUGAAUUGGACAAUUGGAAACUCAUGCCUGGAUGAAAUUGAUUCUCCCUUUCUCAGUAGCUGUUGACCAUCUAUAGCCUGUCAUCUAGAGUUAGGACCCUGUGGAAUCUCUUUGUCUGUCAACUGGUGGUGUCUUUGUGCUGGUUUCAUUCAGGCAUCCUUAUUUUUGAGAGUUCAUGGAUACAUUUUUCCUGUCAUGUCUAGGGAAACUACUUACCAGCAGUCAUUCUGAGCCUCUGGCUCUUAUAGUCCUUCUUCCUUUUCUUCUGUGAUUUUCUGUGAGCCUUAGAUAAAGGGAUUGGAUUGUACAUGGAUCAGUUGGGUUUCCACACAAUCACUUACCUUCUACAUUUUGACCAGUUGUAGAUCUCUAUAAUAUUCUUCAUCUGCAGCAAAAAGAGGUUUUGUAUAUGAAAGGUGAGAGGUAUACUUCUUUGUGAGUAUAAUAUAUUUGUUUAGAAAAAUGACAUUAGUAUGUUCUCUUUAGGGUCUGUGAUCUCCUUUGCCACAGGUUUACAGUUAGGUUUAAAAUACCAGGCAUGGAUUGCCUUUUUUUUUUU
This is a long non-coding RNA of Peromyscus leucopus (white-footed mouse), 4638 nucleotides long. RefSeq lists it as uncharacterized. The transcript is spliced from 6 exons. NCBI's taxonomy places the organism in Eukaryota, Metazoa, Chordata, Mammalia, Rodentia, Cricetidae. The record is from RefSeq and is a predicted model, not a curated record.